GAUGAACGCUGGCGGCGUGCCUAAUACAUGCAAGUCGAGCGAACGGACGCGAAGCUUGCUUUUCUGAUGUUAGCGGCGGACGGGUGAGUAACACGUGGAUAACCUACCUAUAAGACUGGGAUAACUUCGGGAAACCGGAGCUAAUACCGGAUAAUAUUUUGAACCGCAUGGUUCAAAAGUGAAAGACGGUCUUGCUGUCACUUAUAGAUGGAUCCGCGCUGCAUUAGCUAGUUGGUAAGGUCACGGGUUAUCAAGGCAACGAUGCAUAGACGACGUGCGAGGGUGAUCGGCCACACGGGAGCGUAGCCACGGUCCAGACUCCUACGGGAGGCAGCAGUAGGGAAUCUUCCGCAAUGGGCGGAAGCCUGACGGAGCAACGCCGCGUGAGUGAUGAAGGUCUUCGGAUCGUAAAACUCUGUUAUUAGGGAAGAACAUAUGUGUAAUUAACUGUGCACAUCUUGACGGUAACUAAUCAGAAAGCCACGGCUAACUACGUG
RNAcentral lists this ribosomal RNA (497 nucleotides) under uncultured bacterium. RNAcentral describes it as "partial 16S ribosomal RNA". It matches the Rfam family "Bacterial small subunit ribosomal RNA", at positions 28 to 507 of the family's 1533-position model. The record is from RNAcentral.